This 195-nucleotide ribosomal RNA is filed under the name uncultured bacterium. RNAcentral describes it as "partial 16S ribosomal RNA". It matches the Rfam family "Bacterial small subunit ribosomal RNA", at positions 338 to 524 of the family's 1533-position model. The record is from RNAcentral.
CCUACGGGAGGCAGCAGUGGGGAAUAUUGGGCAAUGGGCGAAAGCCUGACCCAGCGACGCCAUGUGGGUGAUGAAGGCCUUCGGGUUGUAAAGCCCUGUUAGGUGGGAAGAAGGGUCAGAGGUGAAUAAUCUUUGGACUUUGACGGUACUACCGAAGAAAGCACCGGCUAACUCCGUGCCAGCAGCCGCGGUAAU